UACGUAGGGGGCAAGCGUUGUCCGGAUUUAUUGGGCGUAAAGAGCGUGUAGGCGGCUUUACAGGUCCGUUGUGAAAACUCGAGGCUCAACCUCGAGACGCCGGUGGAAACCGUAAAGCUAGAGUCCGGAAGAGGAUAGUGGAAUUCCUGGUGUAGCGGUGAAAUGCGCAGAUAUCAGGAAGAACACCCGUGGCGAAGGCGGCUCUCUGGGACGGUACUGACGCUGAGACGCGAAAGCCAGGGGAGCGAACGGG
This 253-nucleotide ribosomal RNA is filed under the name uncultured bacterium. RNAcentral describes it as "partial 16S ribosomal RNA". It matches the Rfam family "Bacterial small subunit ribosomal RNA", at positions 524 to 776 of the family's 1533-position model. The record is from RNAcentral.